Molecule: microRNA precursor, 104 nt
Filed under: Sus scrofa (pig)
Lineage: Eukaryota; Metazoa; Chordata; Mammalia; Artiodactyla; Suidae
Description: mir-544 microRNA precursor family
Rfam family: mir-544 microRNA precursor family
Source: Rfam by way of RNAcentral
AUUCCCUGGGAAUCUUGUUAAAAUGCAGAUUCUCAUUGAGUGAUUGAGUAGGUCACAAGGGGCCUGAGAUUCUGCAUUUUUAACAAGUCCCCGGGUGACACUGA